GUGCUUGCUUUGACAGCACUUAUACUAAAAUUGGAAUGAUACAGAGAAGAUUACCAUGGCCCCUGCGUA
This 69-nucleotide small nuclear RNA is filed under the name Otolemur garnettii (small-eared galago). Lineage: Eukaryota; Metazoa; Chordata; Mammalia; Primates; Galagidae. The record is from RNAcentral.